This is a long non-coding RNA of Apis mellifera (honey bee), 2201 nucleotides long. RefSeq lists it as uncharacterized. The transcript has 3 exons. The record is from RefSeq and is a predicted model, not a curated record. Lineage: Eukaryota; Metazoa; Arthropoda; Insecta; Hymenoptera; Apidae.
AAAAAAAAAGACUCGACGGGGCAACGGUGGUUGUCAUUAACAUUUCAGAGGAGGAAUUUUUUUUUUUCUUUUCUUUUUCACCCAACGGAGCGAACGCGGCGCACGGAGCUUCGUCAGAUGCUCGCGUGGUGGCGGGCUAUCAAUUUAAUCUUUUCUCGAUGAAUGGACGACGGAUCGGUUUUCUUAAAGUGCCGGUUUCACUCGGAGAGCCGCAUUUCUUGACCCCCCUUUAGCCGGACGUAUGGUGUAUUCUAAGGUUUGUGGCUGCGUUUCACCAUGGGUCAUAUAUUCGUGCCGUGGCGCGCCCUUAAAUUAUGCGCGCAAUUACGCGUACCUGCAUCGCGUAAGUGCAUCCUCGUACAGCGACGUUGCGCACACCAGCGCCAUCGUCCAGAGAGCGGGAGAAAAGGUGGAGAAUACGAGGAACGGAGACGGACGAAAGAUUACCGAGUCGGAGGAAAGGUUGAGGGAAAGAGAUAGACGGAUGGAGAUAGACGGCGAAAGAAGGGAAGGGAAGGAGGAUACGUAAACGAUCGCGAAAUUGCGCGACUCUUCUACGUACUGUUCUACAGCGAUUUUGCUGUUUUUUUUUUCUUUGCGAGGUGUUAACGACGAGUAGAAGUGGCUGUAUAGGUCGACCAAGUGCUGUCGAGUUAGCAAGAUACGAACAAACGUUGAACGCAUCACGAGAGAAAUAUCCAAUGUGUCGCCUAACCUAUAACGCGUUUCGAAAUGUCGACACUGAUAGCUCGAGCUUUAUGGAAGAGGAGCUUAUAUACUGCUUAGUAAAUGGAAAACGUUGGGACAAAUUCUUCCUAAACCACCAUUCUAUUGGAACCAAGAUAUGAAUAUUGAAAGCGAACCGCCGGUAAAUCGCUGUCUGCGUAUUAGCCGGUGGUUGAAGACGUCUUAACCUCAAAGAUUUUCUUUUUGAGGACGAAAAUAGUCGGCGCGGCGGCACUUGGGCGGUAGUCGAGGAGAGACGGUUUUCAGAGAUAGAGAAGUGUAUCUCUGACACACCGGGUGUGCACCGCGUGUAUAAAUUUCAUCGUGUACACACGCGCACGCAUAAAUCGCGCGUAACCCUCGGGGUAGGCGCGUAAACACGCGCGCGCGCGCGCGCAUCGCGAGAAGCAUGCGGCCAGUUAGGGAGGAAUGGAAAGGUGGAGGAAGAGAGACGGAGAGAAACAAGAGUCCUGCGUGUUCAAACAAAGAUGCCUCCCUGCGUUCGAUUCGCACUGUCUCUGGCUCGGUCGUAUAAAACACAAGUGUCGUGCUUGCGCGUGCUCUCACCGCCGAGAUAACGAACAGUCUGUAUUCUCGUUAGCAGCCGUGGCAGCCGUUAAGAUAACAACGAGACACGACACUCGCAGCGAGCACGAAAAGAAGAUUUAAAGUCGUCUUAGGAUAUAGUAGAAGUUUCAUAAAUUAGUCGCUAGAGCGUAGAAGUCGCCACCAUCGACUUGCCGUGUUGCGUGGGACGCUGGCCACACUGGAGAAAGGGCAGGCCAGCGUCGUUUUCAUUUCCCUUAACCGUGAAACCGUAACCUCGGGCGCGAAUUAAAUCCACCGUGAAACAACGAGAACUAACCCUCUUUUCACGCUGGUAAUUAACGUGCCGGUAACUGGUUUAAAGGUUCGUUAAAUUUUAUAAUGUUAAUGGAAUGCGAGAAGUGCCGAACAGUGACAACGCAGCAGUAAAUGUGCUACGCUCGAUCGUAACCGCGAAAAAAUUUUCACCGCACUUUUAUCACGGAAGAAUUUUCACGGAAGAUUUUCUCGCGCGUAUUUAAACGUAAUUUCUUUAAUCACGAAUUUCUUCGAAAUUAUAAAAAUAUUCGCGAAAAUUAUGAAUUUUUUUUAUCGAAUCGUGACGUUGCGUUAUACGAAAGAAAAACUCGAUUGAUUCAAAUAUUUUUUAUCACGUUUCAGAAACUCGUUUAACGAUAUUAAAAAUUUUAUUCGGCAAAUCAAGCGUGUCAUUACUUUCGCAUCCAAGCAAUAAACUUGUUUUUAUUAUAUACUAAUAUUUUUAUUAUUGCUUUUCUUACAAAUUAAAAAAAAAAAUUUUUGAAUUAUUUCGUUUUUAACGUUCGCUAAUUGAUUCGUAAAUCUUGUAUAUACUCGUAAAGUAUAUAUUAUCCAUAAUACAAUCUAUAAGUAAUCGUUAAAAAUUUCAUUAAUUACAAGAGAUAUUAAUU